Molecule: small RNA, 245 nt
Filed under: Pelobates cultripes (western spadefoot toad)
Lineage: Eukaryota; Metazoa; Chordata; Amphibia; Anura; Pelobatidae
Source: RNAcentral
GGGGUGACUAGUGACAGAGAGAGGGAGGGAAGGGGUGACUAGUGACAGAGUGAGGGAGGGAAGGGGUGACUAGUGACAGAGUGAGGGAUGGGGUGACUAGUGACAGUCACCACCUCCUUCAUUCUGUCACCAGUCAUCCCCUCAUUCUGUCACUAGUCACCCCUUCCUUCUCUCAUUCUGCCACUAGUCACCCCUUCCCUCACUCUGUCACCUGUCACACCCUCACUCUGUCACUAGUCACCCCC